Molecule: long non-coding RNA, 435 nt
Organism: Stegostoma tigrinum
Lineage: Eukaryota; Metazoa; Chordata; Chondrichthyes; Orectolobiformes; Stegostomatidae
Exons: 3
Source: RefSeq, a predicted model, not a curated record
ACUUUUAAUUGUCCUUUUAUGCUGGUUAGAUCUCGCUUAUAUUGAGACCAUGUUGUAAUUUCAUGUCUCUGUCUCACCUGUCCCAUCGGGAUAAGAGACUACCUUACUUGUUCUUUCUCUUUCAUAUGGGUAGUUUAUCCCUGAUCCUUUUAAUGCCAUCCAAGAGACAUUAUCCAAUGGAGGUACCGUAUUUUUGUCCGAUUUUCACAGAGAUUUUAGAUGAAAUGACUACCCCAUCAUCUUUGCCUCUCAGUAGCCGAACAUCUAUGACUAGAGGACUUCACAGCAACUGAUCAAAGCCUUCACAACUUGGCAAUUUCACUGUUGAAGCUGUUCCCAUUUGGGCAACUUGGGCAGAUUCUUUUCCUGUAGAUCGAGAUCCGUGGAACAUUCGGGCAACCGAGAUGCCUCUUGUGGUUGUAACUGCUUUUAAUG